This 1872-nucleotide ribosomal RNA is filed under the name Fidelibacterota bacterium. RNAcentral describes it as "partial 23S ribosomal RNA". It matches the Rfam family "Bacterial large subunit ribosomal RNA", at positions 1083 to 2925 of the family's 2925-position model. Lineage: Bacteria; Pseudomonadati; Fidelibacterota. The record is from RNAcentral.
GCCCAGACAGCUAGGAGGUUGGCUUAGAAGCAGCCAUCCUUUAAAGAAAGCGUAACAGCUCACUAGUCAAGGGGUUCUGCGCCGAUAAUUUCCGGGACUAAGUAUUAUACCGAAGCUAUGGGAUUCAUUCUUGUGAAUGGAUCGGUAGACGAGCGUUCUAUUAACCUGUGAAGGUUGACCCGCGAGGGCAGCUGGAGGAGAUAGAAAUGAGUAUGCUGGAAUGAGUAGCGAUAAAGCCUGUGAAAUGCAGGCUCGCCGAAAGCGUAAGGUUUCCUGAGUAAAGUUAAUCUGCUCAGGGUUAGUCGGACCCUAAGCCGAGGCCGAAAGGCGUAGGCGAUGGAAAACAGGUUUAAUAUUCCUGUACCAGUUUAAUAUUGUUUGAACUAUGGGGGGACGCAGAAGUGAAAGGAGAUCCCGGUUUUGAUUGUCCGGGUUUAAGAGUGUAGGGAGUUUUGGUAGGUAAAUCCGCUAAAACAAUUCUGAGACUCGAAUAGGAGGGCCUAGCCCAUAAACUCUCCCUAAUCAUGCUGCCAAGAAAAUCCUCUAUGUGAGAUAUUAGACUGCCCGUACCGUAAACGGACACACGUACGCGAGGAGAGAAUCCUAAGGCGCUUGAGAGAAUCCAAGUAAAGGAACUCGGCAAAUUAGCCCCGUAACUUCGGGAGAAGGGGUGCCACUUGAGGAAAAGGACUUCGCGUCCUGCUUUUCGAGUGGUCGCAGUGACAAGGCCCAAGCGACUGUUUACUAAAAACACAGGUCUCUGCUAAGUCGUAAGACGAAAUAUAGGGACUGACACCUGCCCGGUGCUGGAAGGUCAAAUGGAGAGGUUAGCUCCGCUUGCGGAGCGAAGCUUUGAAAUGAAGCCCCAGUAAACGGCGGCCGUAACUAUAACGGUCCUAAGGUAGCGAAAUUCCUUGUCGGGUAAGUUCCGACCUGCACGAAUGGUGUAACGAUUUGGGCACUGUCUCUACUUGGAGCUCAGCGAAAUUGAAGUGUCGGUGAAGAUGCCGGCUACCCGCGGCCGGACGAAAAGACCCCGUGAACCUUUACUACAACUUAGCAUUGGAUAUUGAUUCUGCAUGUGCAGGAUAGGUGGGAGGCUUUGAAGCGGAGACGCUAGUCUUCGUGGAGCCAUCCUUGAAAUACCACCCUUGUAUUGUUAGUAUUCUAAUCCCAUCCCGUGAAUCCGGGUGAGAGACAGUGUUAGGUGGGUAGUUUGACUGGGGCGGUCUCCUCCUAAAAGGUAACGGAGGAACCCAAAGGUUCCCUCAGCACGGUCGGUAAUCGUGCGUAGAGCGCAAAGGCAUAAGGGAGCUUGACUGUGAGGUCGACGGACCGAGCAGGUACGAAAGUAGGGCUUAGUGAUCUGGUGGUUCCGCAUGGAAGGGCCAUCACUCAAUGGAUAAAAGGUACUCCGGGGAUAACAGGCUUAUCUCCCCCAAGAGUUCAUAUCGACGGGGAGGUUUGGCACCUCGAUGUCGGCUCAUCACAUCCUGGGGCUGGAGAAGGUCCCAAGGGUUGGGCUGUUCGCCCAUUAAAGUGGUACGUGAGCUGGGUUUAGAACGUCGUGAGACAGUUCGGUCUCUAUCCGCCGUGGGCGCAGGAGAAUUGAAGGAAUCUGCUUCUAGUACGAGAGGACCGAAGUGGACGAACCUCUGGUGCACCAGUUGUUUCAUCAGAAGCAUCGCUGGGUAGCUAUGUUCGGAAAGGAUAAGCGCUGAAAGCAUAUAAGUGCGAAACCUGUCCUAAGAUUAGUUCUCCCUAUCGUUUGAUAAUAAGGCUCGUUGUAGACUACGACGUUGAUAGGCCACAAGUGUACGUGCAGUAAUGCAUUUAGCUGAGUGGUACUAAUUAGCCGAAUGGCUUUAUCAA